This 1414-nucleotide ribosomal RNA is filed under the name Mesonia mobilis. RNAcentral's name for it is "bacterial SSU rRNA". It matches the Rfam family "Bacterial small subunit ribosomal RNA". The record is from RNAcentral. Lineage: Bacteria; Pseudomonadati; Bacteroidota; Flavobacteriia; Flavobacteriales; Flavobacteriaceae.
UGCAGUCGAACGGUAACAGCAGAGCUUGCUCUGGCUGACGAGUGGCGCACGGGUGCGUAACGCGUAUACAAUCUACCUAUUACUGGAGUAUAGCCCGAAGAAAUUUGGAUUAAUCCUCCAUAGUAUUAUGGAAUGGCAUCAUUUUAUAAUUAAAACUACGGUGGUAAUAGAUGAGUAUGCGUCCUAUUAGUUUGUUGGUAAGGUAACGGCUUACCAAGGCAUCGAUAGGUAGGGGUCCUGAGAGGGAGAUCCCCCACACUGGUACUGGGNNANCCCCNNNNNGNNNNNAGANCNNNCNAGACUCCUACGGGAGGCAGCAGUGAGGAAUAUUGGACAAUGGAGGAGACUCUGAUCCAGCCAUGCCGCGUGCAGGAAGACUGCCCUAUGGGNUUGUAAACUGCUUUUAUAGAGGAAGAAACCUCCCUACGUGUAGGGAGCUGACGGUACUCUACGAAUAAGGAUCGGCUAACUCCGUGCCAGCAGCCGCGGUAAUACGGAGGAUCCAAGCGUUAUCCGGAAUCAUUGGGUUUAAAGGGUCCGUAGGCGGGCAGUUAAGUCAGUGGUGAAAGUCUUCCGCUCAACGGGAGAAUUGCCAUUGAUACUGAUUGUCUUGAGUCAUUAUGAAGUGGUUAGAAUGAGUAGUGUAGCGGUGAAAUGCAUAGAUAUUACUCAGAAUACCGAUUGCGAAGGCAGAUCACUAAUAAUGUACUGACGCUGAUGGACGAAAGCGUAGGUAGCGAACAGGAUUAGAUACCCUGGUAGUCUACGCCGUAAACGAUGGUUACUAGCUGUUUGGACGAUUGAGUCUGAGUGGCUAAGCGAAAGUGAUAAGUAACCCACCUGGGGAGUACGUUCGCAAGAAUGAAACUCAAAGGAAUUGACGGGGGCCCGCACAAGCGGUGGAGCAUGUGGUUUAAUUCGAUGAUACGCGAGGAACCUUACCAGGGCUUAAAUGCAGUCUGACGUAUCUGGAAACAGAUAUUUCUUCGGACAGAUUGCAAGGUGCUGCAUGGUUGUCGUCAGCUCGUGCCGUGAGGUGUCAGGUUAAGUCCUAUAACGAGCGCAACCCCUGUGGUUAGUUGCCAGCGAGUAAUGUCGGGAACUCUAGCCAGACUGCCGGUGCAAACCGCGAGGAAGGUGGGGAUGACGUCAAAUCAUCACGGCCCUUACGUCCUGGGCUACACACGUGCUACAAUGGUAGGGACAGAGAGCAGCCACUGGGCGACCAGGAGCGAAUCUACAAACCCUAUCACAGUUCGGAUCGCAGUCUGCAACUCGACUGCGUGAAGCUGGAAUCGCUAGUAAUCGCAUAUCAGCCAUGAUGCGGUGAAUACGUUCCCGGGCCUUGUACACACCGCCCGUCAAGCCAUGGAAGCUGGGGGUACCUGAAGUCCGUUACCGCAAGGAGCGGCCU